GAUGAACGCUGGCGGCGUGCCUAAUACAUGCAGGUCGAGCGAACAGACGAGGAGCUUGCUCCUCUGACGUUAGCGGCGGACGGGUGAGUAACACGUGGAUAACCUACCUAUAAGACUGGGAUAACUUCGGGAAACCGGAGCUAAUACCGGAUAAUAUAUUGAACCGCAUGGUUCAAUAGUGAAAGACGGUUUUGCUGUCACUUAUAGAUGGAUCCGCGCCGCAUUAGCUAGUUGGUAAGGUAACGGCUUACCAAGGCGACGAUGCGUAGCCGACCUGAGAGGGGGGUCGGCCACCCUGGAACUGAGACACGGUCCAGGCCCCUACGGGAGGCAGCCGUAGGGAAUCCUCCGCAAUUGGCGGAAGCCUGACGGAGCCACGCCGGGUGAGUGAUGAAGGUCUUCGGAUCGUAAAACUCUUUUAUUAGGGAAGAACAAAUGUGUAAGUAACUAUGCACGUCUUGACGGUACCUAAUCAGAAAGCCACGGCUAACUACGUG
This 497-nucleotide ribosomal RNA is filed under the name uncultured bacterium. Its description in RNAcentral is "partial 16S ribosomal RNA". It matches the Rfam family "Bacterial small subunit ribosomal RNA", at positions 28 to 507 of the family's 1533-position model. The record is from RNAcentral.